AACGAACGCUGGCGGCAGGCUUAACACAUGCAAGUCGAGCGCCCCGCAAGGGGAGCGGCAGACGGGUGAGUAACGCGUGGGAAUCUACCCAUCCCUACGGAAUAGCUCCGGGAAACUGGAAUUAAUACCGUAUACGUCCUACGGGGGAAAGAUUUAUCGGGGAUGGAUGAGCCCGCGUUGGAUUAGCUAGUUGGGGGGGUAAAGGCCUACCAAGGCGACGAUCCAUAGCUGGUCUGAGAGGAUGAUCGGCCACAUUGGGACUGAGACACGGACCAAACUCCUACGGGAGGCAGCAGUGGGGAAUAUUGGACAAGGGGGGCAACCCUGAUCCAGCCAUGCCGCGUGAGUGAUGAAGGCCUUAGGGUUGUAAAGCUCUUUCACCGGGGAAGAUAAUGACGGUACCCGGAGAAGAAGCCCCGGCUAACUCCGUGCCAGCAGCCGCCGUAA
RNAcentral lists this ribosomal RNA (447 nucleotides) under uncultured bacterium. Its description in RNAcentral is "partial 16S ribosomal RNA". It matches the Rfam family "Bacterial small subunit ribosomal RNA", at positions 29 to 523 of the family's 1533-position model. The record is from RNAcentral.